RNAcentral lists this ribosomal RNA (496 nucleotides) under uncultured bacterium. RNAcentral describes it as "partial 16S ribosomal RNA". It matches the Rfam family "Bacterial small subunit ribosomal RNA", at positions 29 to 507 of the family's 1533-position model. The record is from RNAcentral.
AUGAACGCUGGCGGCGUGCCUAAUACAUGCAAGUCGAGCGAACAGAUGAGGAGCUUGCUCCUCUGACGUUAGCGGCGGACGGGUGAGUAACACGUGGAUAACCUACCUAUAAGACUGGGAUAACUUCGGGAAACCGGAGCUAAUACCGGAUAAUAUAUUGAACCGCAUGGUUCAAUAGUGAAAGACGGUUUUGCUGUCACUUAUAGAUGGAUCCGCGCCGCAUUAGCUAGUUGGUAAGGUAACGGCUUACCAAGGCGACGAUGCGUAGCCGACCUGAGAGGGUGAUCGGCCACACUGGAACUGAGACACGGUCCAUACUCCUACGGGAGGCAGCAGUAGGGAAUCUUCCGCAAUGGGCGAAAGCCUGACGGAGCAACGCCGCGUGAGUGAUGAAGGUCUUCGGAUCGUAAAACUCUGUUAUUAGGGAAGAACAAAUGUGUAAGUAACUAUGCACGUCUUGACGGUACCUAAUCAGAAAGCCACGGCUAACUACGUG